AUGCAAGUCGAACGAAAAGCAUAACCUCGGUUAUGUGGAAAGUGGCGAACGGGUGCGUAACACGUGAGCAACCUGCCCUUGAGUACGGAAUAGCCCGCCGAAAGACGGAUUAAUGCCGUAUGUGGCCUUUCAUCGCAUGGUGUGAUGGCUAAAGCUUGUAAUGGCGCUCAAGAAUGGGCUCGCGGCCUAUCAGCUUGUUGGUGAGGUAAUAGCUCACCAAGGCUAAGACGGGUAGCUGGUCUGAGAGGAUGAUCAGCCACACCGGGACUGAGACACGGCCCGGACACCUACGGGUGGCAGCAGUUUCGAAUCAUUCACAAUGGGCGAAAGCCUGAUGGUGCAAUGCCGCGUGGAGGAUGACGGCCUUAGGGUUGUAAACUCCUGUCAUUGGGGAGCAAUAAGCAGGUUUGUAGCCUGCCCUGAGUUAACCCAAAGAGGAAGAGG
Molecule: ribosomal RNA, 444 nt
Filed under: uncultured Opitutaceae bacterium
Lineage: Bacteria; Pseudomonadati; Verrucomicrobiota; Opitutia; Opitutales; Opitutaceae
Description: bacterial SSU rRNA
Rfam family: Bacterial small subunit ribosomal RNA
Source: RNAcentral